Molecule: long non-coding RNA, 3329 nt
Organism: Cuculus canorus (common cuckoo)
Lineage: Eukaryota; Metazoa; Chordata; Aves; Cuculiformes; Cuculidae
Exons: 3
Source: RefSeq, a predicted model, not a curated record
UUUCCUAAAAGUCAGACUUUCAAGACAUACCCACUCUCAGAGAAAGCGAUCUCUCAGAUGUAGCAGUUGAUUCCUGAAUGGCUUCUGAAUCGGACAGGUGCUCAUAAUGAAGAAAAUGUUAAAAAACAGACCUGUUCCUCAUCUGCCGUGCAUUUGAUGUUUCUGAAAUAUUACAUUGGGCUGUCACGGUUUACAGUUGCACAAUCCUUGCAUUUGCUGGCACCAGAUCUCCUGUGAAUCUACAACUAUCAUCCCCACAGCCAAAACGCUAAAAGCAACUACUCAAAUCCCAGUAGCAAUGGAUAUAACACCAAGUGUUGCAGAGGAAUCUCCAACUGGGAAAAAAAUGUAAUCCUUUUGAUAUUUUUGCAAGUUUGAGUCCUGGCCCCCUUAAAAAUAAAAGGUAUAAAGCUAAAAAUUAAAAUCUCACCCUGAAAUACUGGCAAACUGACCGCUCUGAUUUUGAUUAGGAAUCACAUUUGACUCUAAGAAAUCAUCCAAGCUACGCACAAGUAAUUCAGGAAGAUAUAAAUGGCUACAUUAUAAUGGGUAGACACCUAUUUUAAGCAUGAUCUAUGCUUUUAAGAAAAUUCAUUACAAUAAGUCUUACAAUACCAAGCUCUUCAAUGAAUUUUUCAUGUCUGCAUACCAAGAUAUAUAUAAAAUGAUAGUAAUCAUACACCUUUGGGGCAAUGCUGAGCACCAGCUGUUUCACUGAUGAUUUAUAGGUUGCCAUGUUCAAGGUUAAUAAUCAGGAGAAACAGGUUACAGUAUGCAAUGUAUUUAUGUCAGGUUAGAAGUUCAGUAGUGAGGAUAUGAUGUUACGAUGAUAUGUGAGGUUUUAAUUAGCUAUAUCUCAGCUUUCUGGAAAAUCAAAUGCAACCACUUUCCAAAGGUGAAAAAUAAUUGGUGCUAACUUUUAUUUUGAACUCAGUUGAAAUUAAAACAGCAAAAUUUCAUCUUCAUCUCGUCUGAAAUCUGCAUGCAAACUGCCUAAGUUGUCAAUUCAUAAUAAAAGUUCAGUGUUAAGGUGGAUGGAGAUUUUCCCAGGACAGAGAGCAGAACGCUUUAAACUGCAAAUGUAGUUGUACUCCACACUUUGUGAGCUGCCAUACUUUGCAGCCCAAACCACUAAGAUAAGCCCUUACCGUUUGUCAGCACACCAGCCUUGAAGCAACAGUGGAGAUGAUGACCAUGAUGCAUUGGCCCAUGCAGCUUCCCCAGCUGCUGGUAGGAACGUUGCUGAUGGCCAUUUUUGUUUCCUCCCUGGUUCUAACUACAUCCACAUGUCCUCCUGCAAGAGGACGAUUAUAACUGUGUGAUUGCCAGGAUCUGCUCUUCUGUGCAAGAUGUUUACUUUCAACAACAAAAGAGAACGGCUUGGAGUCAACAAUUUAUGCCACGGCCCUUAAGUUUCUGAAUAGUUAGCCCUUGGUUUAACUGGGGAACUGCGCACAAACUAACAAACCUAGAGUCCAGCAACAUAGAAAACCUUUGCCUCAACCUCAACAGGUAAAUUUCUGGAGUUUUCUGACACAACCAAAAGGUGCAAACUUUUCAACUACAGCCUGGGGAGCUCUAGUUGAUUGCACACACCAGUCCCCGAGGAGGGCCUUGGAGCUUUGUCAUCACAUUGCACUGUGUUUCAAAAACCUUUGCUUCUUCAGAUCAGCUUUGCUGAGCUUCCUCAAAGCUGAACGUUCAUUCCCUGAAGUCAGCAGCUUUCUCCACAUACUUCUGUGAUUAUAUUCACAAUAGGGAACUCCAAAUAAGAUGAGGAAAGAGGCUAAUUCAUCUCAGAAGGGUGGCUUUAAAUCUCAGCAGAUUCAGCAAUAGCAUGCUCUUAUUGCAAUGAAAAUCGACGAUCCAUCCCACCUUUGCAUUUUCAGCUGUGCUGCCCACCAUACUAGGAGACGUGCGACAUGUGCUGGUGCCGGGGUACAAGCGCCGGGUCAGGUCGGGAUUCGUGCACACAAGGAGUUACUUGCAGCUUCUCCCCAACAACUGAUCUAUGGCUUAGUGUGAUUUGAGUCUUGGAUAGCCAUGAUCCUUAGUUAAGAAUUUUCGUGAUGUUGAGAUGCUACAUGAAGCAAAAUCCCUCGCCCACAGACCCUGACUGCUGGAUGUCAUGCAUUCAAGGCCUGUCUCCACUUGCUGCUGUGCAUUGAUGUAUGAUAAACUACCUGUUGAAUUCCUAAUAAUGAAUGCAGCCUGCCCUCUAAACAAAUGGGAAGAGGCAACCUGGCACAAUAAAAUCACCAGAGAGUGGGCAAGGAAUAGGACACAGAUGAGAUUUCAUUCUCAUAAAUUGCCUCUCUAUUACACUUGGAGUAUAUUCACAAUAGGGAACUCCAAAUAGAAUGAGAAAAGGGGCUAAUUCAUUUUAUGAGGAUGGCUUUAAAUCUCAGCCUAUAACUAUGCUAGAAAAUUAAUUAUGGCUAUGGUGAAUGAAAGGAGAAGUUAUACCAAUAAUGAACAUCACCCUAUCCUGCUUUCUUAGCCCAAUAAAAUUUUCCUUAACUGAGCAGUGGCAUUCAUAAAUGUCAGCAAAGCAAAACAUGAACAUAACAGGACACGUUGACCUGGGUGCAGGCAGUGGUGCCUACAGAUAGGGAGAAUCUAUUGGAGCCCUUACGCAUUAGUAUGUAAUUUUAAAAGGCCAGUCUGUCUUAGGCAUUUCACAGAGUGACUUAUUGGGCAGUGGAGAAAUAGCCAAUAAAAAAUGGGUGAUAUAAACAUUAUUACUGAGAGUUAUGGUUGAUGGUGGAGGGAGCUAGAACCCCAGGGUGAAAACUUGGCUGUAUUGAAAGUAGUAGUAAGAUUCAUCCUGACUCUGCAUUCUGGCCUUACGAUAUCCAGGUCAUAAACAUAAUAGCCUAAAUUGUCCUAUCAAGUUAUUAGAUUGUACACCCUGCGUUGUUACUGAAGAGCUAGUGCUCAAGAAUUUUAUUUCACUCUAUGUCAAUGUAUAUUUGCUGCUUAUUGGCCUGGCAGAGGUCUUUGUAGGUCUCACAAAUCCAUUGCCCUAAAAGACAGCUAAACACCCUUCAGGCUUCUCUGUUUGUAUUUGUUUAACCUCUUCUUAAAGACCUUGAGAGAUGGGGAUCCCGCAAACCAUGCUGUUCUUCGCUUGCAUUUUAGCUUCCUUUCCUUGCUGUAUUUUUUGCUUAUUACUGUUACUGCUGUUCUCCAUGAACAAGGAGAACCAAAGAAUCCCUUUUCCUUGGCAGCAGUGUUUUCUACCUUGGAAAUCAGUUAUCAUGUUCCCCCAUCAGUUCUUUUAUCUUCAGAUUGUCCCACAGUUGGCCUAGUCUUUCCCUGCAGGUUGU